AACGAACGCUAGCGGCAUGCCUAACACAUGCAAGUCGAACGAGACCUUCGGGUCUAGUGGCGCACGGGUGCGUAACGCGUGGGAACCUGCCCUUAGGCUCGGAAUAACUCCCCGAAAGGGGUGCUAAUACCGGAUAAAGUCUUCGGACCAAAGAUUUAUCGCCUUUGGAUGGGCCCGCGUUGGAUUAGCUAGUUGGUAGGGUAAAAGCCUACCAAGGCGACGAUCCAUAGCUGGUCUGAGAGGAUGAUCAGCCACACUGGGACUGAGACACGGCCCAGACUCCUACGGGAGGCAGCAGUGGGGAAUAUUGGACGAUGGGCGAAAGCCUGAUCCAGCAGUGCCGCGUGAGUGAUGAAGGCCUUAGGGUUGUAAAGCUCUUUUACCCGGGAUGAUAAUGACAGUACCGGGAGAAUAAGCUCCGGCUAACUCCGUG
RNAcentral lists this ribosomal RNA (433 nucleotides) under uncultured bacterium. RNAcentral describes it as "partial 16S ribosomal RNA". It matches the Rfam family "Bacterial small subunit ribosomal RNA", at positions 29 to 507 of the family's 1533-position model. The record is from RNAcentral.